UGGGGAAUCUUGCGCAAUGGGCGAAAGCCUGACGCAGCAACGCCGCGUGGGGGAUGAAGGCCCUCGGGUUGUAAACCCCUUUCAGCAGGGACGAAAUUGACGGUACCUGCAGAAGAAGCCCCGGCCAACUACGUGCCAGCAGCCGCGGUAAUACGUAGGGGGCGAGCGUUGUCCGGAUUCAUUGGGCGUAAAGAGCUCGUAGGCGGUUUGGCAAGUCGGGUGUGAAAUCUCUGGGCUCAACUCAGAGAGGCCACUCGAUACUGCUAUGACUAGAGUCCGGUAGGGGACCAUGGAAUUCCUUGUGUAGCGGUGAAAUGCGCAGAUAUCAGGAGGAACACCGGUGGCGAAGGCGGUGGUCUGGGCCGGCACUGACGCUGAGGAGCGAAAGCGUGGGGAGCGAACA
Molecule: ribosomal RNA, 403 nt
Filed under: uncultured Aciditerrimonas sp.
Lineage: Bacteria; Bacillati; Actinomycetota; Acidimicrobiia; Acidimicrobiales; Acidimicrobiaceae
Description: bacterial SSU rRNA
Rfam family: Bacterial small subunit ribosomal RNA
Source: RNAcentral